CGCCUGCCGGCGACCGGCGCACGGGUGAGUAACACGUAUGCGACCUGCCCCCGCAGGGGGAUAACCGGGAGAAAUCCCGACUAAUACCGCGUAACGCCGCGGACCUGCAUGGGUCUGCGGCCAAAGGAAGCGAUUCCGGCGGGGGAUGGGCAUGCGGCGCACUAGCUAGUCGGCGGGGUAACGGCCCACCGAGGCGACGAUGCGUAGGGGUUCUGAGAGGAAGGUCCCCCACACUGGUACUGAGACACGGACCAGACUCCUACGGGAGGCAGCAG
RNAcentral lists this ribosomal RNA (275 nucleotides) under uncultured bacterium. RNAcentral describes it as "partial 16S ribosomal RNA". It matches the Rfam family "Bacterial small subunit ribosomal RNA", at positions 82 to 354 of the family's 1533-position model. The record is from RNAcentral.